This 490-nucleotide ribosomal RNA is filed under the name uncultured bacterium. RNAcentral describes it as "partial 16S ribosomal RNA". It matches the Rfam family "Bacterial small subunit ribosomal RNA", at positions 29 to 507 of the family's 1533-position model. The record is from RNAcentral.
GUGAACGCUGGCGGUAGGCCUAACACAUGCAAGUCGAACGGCAGCACAGUAAGAGCUUGCUCUUACGGGUGGCGAGUGGCGGACGGGUGAGGAAUACAUCGGAAUCUACUUUUUCGUGGGGGAUAACGUAGGGAAACUUACGCUAAUACCGCAUACGACCUACGGGUGAAAGCAGGGGAUCUUCGGACCUUGCGCGAUUGAAUGAGCCGAUGUCGGAUUAGCUAGUUGGCGGGGUAAAGGCCCACCAAGGCGACGAUCCGUAGCUGGUCUGAGAGGAUGAUCAGCCACACUGGACAUGAGACACGGUCCAGACUCCUACGGGAGGCAGCAGUGGGGAAUAUUGGACAAUGGGCGCAAGCCUGAUCCAGCCAUACCGCGUGGGUGAAGAAGGCCUUCGGGUUGUAAAGCCCUUUGUUGGGAAAGAAAAGCAGCAGGUUAAUACCCCGCUGUUCUGACGGUACCCAAAGAAUAAGCACCGGCUAACUUCGUG